This is a small nucleolar RNA of Saimiri boliviensis boliviensis (Bolivian squirrel monkey), 104 nucleotides long. RefSeq annotates it as small nucleolar RNA U13. The record is from RefSeq and is a predicted model, not a curated record. Lineage: Eukaryota; Metazoa; Chordata; Mammalia; Primates; Cebidae.
CUACUUCUGUGUUUCAUAAUGAUUGGGUUUUCACACUUAUAUGUGAGAUGUGCCUCCCUCAAAACUUGUUAGGAGUAGUGGCUAGACAUAUUACCUAUCUGACU